Molecule: long non-coding RNA, 1696 nt
Organism: Nicotiana tabacum (common tobacco)
Lineage: Eukaryota; Viridiplantae; Streptophyta; Magnoliopsida; Solanales; Solanaceae
Source: RefSeq, a predicted model, not a curated record
UCCUCAAAAAGAGAGCAACGGCGUAUUCCUUUUCAUAGAGAAAAAAUCAAAUAAAAAAGGGAACGGGGGACCUUACCCUUUCAAAAUUAUUUUUCUGCAAUGGACACACAUAGGCAUAAAGAAGGAGAAAAGGACAUCAUUUCAAAAAGUGUAAAAAAUGACACAAGGGAAGUGGGAAAAAAAUAGAAGCGAGAAAUUAGAUUUCAAAAAGGAAAAGAAAACAAAAUCCUCCCCAAUUUUGCUACUUGUUUGCUUCAAAUUAGAGCCAAUCAAUGAUGCUACUUAUUUUGAUCUUCAACAAGCGAAGCUACAGUCCAAAUUAAGCCAAGUUGAUAGAGUUUCGAGGUUCCGGCGAGGUCACCUUUAGAUCCGGUCAUUGUUCAGUUUGUUCAAGCCAAAAUUCCGAUUCUGGGUUUGCAUCAUUAAUACAAAGGAAAUCACUGAUAUCCGCUGUUGUUAUCUGCUGAAAUUUUGGGUUGAGCUUCAUUCAAUUUGGUCUUGACUUUUAAUCAUUUCUAUUCAAGUUUUCUGGUUCAACCAGUUUCAGAUCUGGGUUUGGUUUGGUUUAGCUGAUUUUCCUUGCAAAUGAGUUGCCAAUAUGCUGAAAAGGUCAAACCAUCCUCAAGCGAUAUAAAUAUUUUAGAUAUCAAUUCUAUUUGUAUUUGGUAAAAUGCAUGGACGACGCCUUAAUUGAUGCAUUCUAUCAUCAACAUAUACCUAGUAAGAGAGUUGGUGGAACCUUCACUUCACACACACUGGAUAAUAUAGUGAAUGAGCUACAAUCAAAAUUUUCUGAUAAAGUUAUUAACAAAGAGAGAGUUCACAAUCGAAUGAGAUUAAUUAAAAGAAAAUUAGAAAGUGCUAUGACACGUUUCAAAACAGGAUGAGUGGGUUUGCAUUGGAUUCAAGUACAAAUACAUGGAAUGUUGAAUCUGAAGUAUAUGGGAUCAAUUAAUUCAGGCUAAUCUUGAGGCUGCUGAAUUGAGGAACAAGCCGAUUAGAAAUUAUAAUACGCUAAUGGUACUAUAUGGAAAAGAUAGGGCUACUGGAAAGCAUGCCGAAAUUGGAUCAGACAUGUUGAAAAAAAGUGCUCAUAAUAAUUUGAGAAGAACAAGUACUGCUUCAUUGACCAUUGAUGAGGUAGAUGAAUCAAUUUCUAUAAAUGCGGCUUCUUUGGAAAACACUAAGAAAGAUGGGCAAGAUGAGCAAGAGAAAACAACUCCCAAAACGCCUAAGUUGAAUGCAUAUUCAGAGGCACCUAUUUCUAAUAAGAAUAAAAAGCCAAAAUAAGACCAUCUUGAAGGUAUGGCUGAUAUGUUGAGAGGUGGGAUGGAUAAAUUGGCCAAUGCCAUAAAUCGCCUAUCAACUAUGCCACCAAUUCCAGAGAGUGAGAUAUGGCAUAUGGUGAAGGCGAUGGAUUUGGAACCGCGUUUGGUCCCAAAGGCUUAUAUAUUUCUUUUCCAACAUUCAGACGUGUGCCGCACUAACUAGAUGUCUAUGGGGAGAACGCAAAAUUCUUUUGUUGACCAUGAUGUCGGUUGACAAUUAAGUUAAAUUUAUAUUAUUAUAACUAUUAAGGAUUUUAUGAUGAAGUAGAACGCUUCGUUAUUAGAAGGUAUUAUGUUAUGCACUCAAGUUUUGGAUUAUAUACAAAUGCUUGUUACUAGGAAAUAUUAUUCACGAUCUAAAUUUUGAA